Molecule: ribosomal RNA, 273 nt
Filed under: uncultured bacterium
Lineage: Bacteria
Description: partial 16S ribosomal RNA
Rfam family: Bacterial small subunit ribosomal RNA
Source: RNAcentral
AUACGGAGGGGGCUAGCGUUGUUCGGAAUUACUGGGCGUAAAGCGUACGUAGGCGGACUGAUCAGUUGGGGGUGAAAUCCAGGGCUUAACCCUGGAGCUGCCUUCAAUACUGUCAGUCUUGAGAUUGGGAGAGGUGAGUGGAAUUCCUAGUGUAGAGGUGAAAUUCAUAGAUAUUAGGAGGAACACCAGUGGCGAAGGCGGCUCACUGGCCCAUUACUGACGCUGAGGUACGAAAGCGUGGGGAGCAAACAGGAUUAGAAACCCUAGUAGUCC